This is a long non-coding RNA of Ailuropoda melanoleuca (giant panda), 2571 nucleotides long. RefSeq lists it as uncharacterized. The record is from RefSeq and is a predicted model, not a curated record. NCBI's taxonomy places the organism in Eukaryota, Metazoa, Chordata, Mammalia, Carnivora, Ursidae. The transcript is spliced from 5 exons.
CGCGCCCCGGCCGCCAGCCGAGGCGGGGGCUCCUGUUCCUCCUCCCUGUCGCUGCCGGGGAGACCCUUGGGGGAUGUUUCCCUCUGGUCAAGCAGUUGUCGGCGGUGGUGGCUCUUACCGCGUCCUGCGCCUGGCUCCUGCCAGCAGUUUUGUCACCAGGUGGCGGGGCUGGAGACCCGCUCAGAAGUAAGGUUGUGGUGGCUUAUAGUUUUCAACACCUGCGAGGAGCUACCAGUGGAGGCUGACCAGCAGAUGGACACAUCCCUGCCAUUGUAGAACUUCGGGUCUGGCAGGGUGUGGAGACAAGCAUCCAGGACAAUUAACUGUGAUAUUUGUCCUACUUGGGGGCUUGAAACAAGAUCAGUUAUAGAAGCAACAGCAAGAGGACACAGUUAUUCUUUGCUGGAGUAGAAAGCCUUCCAGUAGGCACUCCUGGUCUUACUAUACUCCUUGCCCAUGAUAACAGCUACAAUUUUUAAAGUGUCUGCUAAGGCCAGGCUGUGUCCUAAUAGAAGAUAUUCUGGUGCAACUCACUGAAAGUUCUCUCCUUGAAAGCAUCUUUGCCCUGAUCCUAAGCUCAACCUGAACCAAACAUUCUGUUUUGUAUUUGUAUUAACCACUCUCUCCUUUGUGCCGUGCCUGGGUUGCAUGGGGUUUGCGCCCUCCUCAACAAAUGACUUCCCCUAUUGGAAACUUCAGCCCGAAAAGAAAUGCCUGACUCUUAGGUGAAACGUGAUCCUUCUGUGGCCAUAAACUUUAAACUCAGUUUAUUACGUUGGAGAGGUUUUUGGACAAGCCUUAAGGAAAUUAUAUCACACAAUCAUUGUUUUCUAAAGAACAGACUACAGGGAAGGAGAAUUGAUCUUACAGCAGCUGCAUUUGAUUUGGUAAAGCAACUAGGAGAAAAAAUAUCCAAGACUGUAAGAGCACAACAUGUUUAGCUGUAAAAGUGUUUUUCUGAAGAUCUCAUUCUCAUCUGCUAUCAUUUGCCUGUCCAAGGCCAAGGCAUUUACAGAUAUAUGUACCGUUUCCAAAAUGGAUAUGUAGACUCACUAGAAUGCUAAGACCAAAAGUAAGUGGUUCACUAUGAAAGACACAUUUUACGGUCAAGAACAGCCUGCUUUGGGAAAGAAAACCCUACAAACAUACGUGCUGGCAUUAAAUUUCAAGACUCCACGAAGGCAGGGAAAGGGUAGAAUUUUAACAUUGGAAAGGAUCAUCCAGUUGAAAUCUCUUGUUGAUACACAAAGCAUUUGAAAUCCAGAGAAGUUAGUGACUUACAUGAGGUCAUCCAGUUAGGUUGUGUCCUGGCUAAGUCUAGUUGUCAGAACGCUAGUCCCCAGAGCUCCUCCUCUAACACUGCUGUGUUCUCUUAAAUUUCUGGUCCUGUUUGGGACAUGAACAUGCCCAGUCGUAAUGCAGCCUAAGACUCCUAAUGACAUUGACAAGUGUUCUGUGUAGAUGACGUGUGAGUGGCACUUCCUGACUUUGAUGGAGUUAAAUGCAUUAUUUAAAUUGGUCAUAGAGGAAGAGGGUUUGUGUGUGUAUAACUGCUCUGGGGAUCUCUCUCUCUCUCUCAGAAAGGUAAUUGGACUAACCAUGGCUGUUCCUGCCAUCCAGGAAAUGACUGAAGCUCAACCAGAUAAAUCAAGGAUGCUGUGAUUUGGCCAGCCAUUAGUUUGUCUGAUGUGCUUCUAAACCGUAGUACUGAGUUCUCAGGGUUUAUGAGACUGAAGUCAUGGCACAAGUCACAUGGAGAGGUCACAUGUGCCUGACGCCUCUGCAUAAGGGCUGGGGUGGGAAAGUUACAUGGUGGGAGAAGUGACUAUAUGUUACACAGAUGGAGCAUGUGUGAUCGAGCACCUGGUCAAAGUAAACAUUCGUGUGCUCCACACAUCAGAAAACCAUUACUUUUAACCAGGAGGAAGAUUAUUCCUUAUCUUUUUCUUGCUAUAAAAUAAUCAACUUAGCAAAAGCUCACCAUGGGAAAACAUCAGGCAUUUUGUCCCUGGAUUUUCAGUUGGGGCCAAACAGAGGGAAUCAAAGCCCUAAAAUAACUUUUCUUGCCCUGGAAGAUGUGAGUGGGGCUGCAGGAAGUGGUAGGAGGCUGGGGUAAUGUUACUACCUGACCCAACAACAGGCUGGUUACACAGGCAGGCAGGCGGCUCUGGGCUAUUCUUUCAGUCCUUGUACCCUUGCAAUAAGGAGGCCUUCUACCUUUUCCCUGUACUUUAGGAGUGCAGUGGGGAAAGAGCGUGAUGCUUUCGUGGAUGACUUAAGUUAAAUAAAUUAGAUUUCUACCCUUGUUCCUUCUAUCCUUCCAUUACUUCCCAAAGUAUAGAGGCAAUAUAGAAUACUGCUUAUAAACCAGGAGUAUGUGAUGCGCCUCCUACAAUUCAGGUUCAUUAUCCCUUCUGGGACAGAAUUAAUGUACGGAAAUAGAAAACAUACCUGCGAGGUAAUCUGUGUGUGUGAUACCUUAAAUGUGAUGAUAUCCAUGUUGUUUGAAAGGCUUUCUCCUCUAAGGAGAGAGAACAGUAGGGGACACACACACACACACACACACACACA